This 454-nucleotide ribosomal RNA is filed under the name uncultured bacterium. RNAcentral describes it as "bacterial SSU rRNA". It matches the Rfam family "Bacterial small subunit ribosomal RNA", at positions 349 to 793 of the family's 1533-position model. The record is from RNAcentral.
CAGCAGUGGGGAAUAUUGCACAAUGGGGGAAACCCUGAUGCAGCCAUGCCGCGUGUGUGAAGAAGGCCUUCGGGGUUGUAAAGCACUUUCAGUAGGGAGGAAGGUAGUGUAGUUAAUACCUGCAUUAUUUGACGUUACCUACAGAAGAAGCACCGGCUAACUCCGUGCCAGCAGCCGCGGUAAUACGGAGGGGUGCGAGCGUUAAUCGGAAUUACUGGGCGUAAAGCGCAUGCAGGCGGCCUGUUAAGUCAGAUGUGAAAGCCCGGGGCUUAACCUCGGAAUUGCAUUUGAAACUGGCAGGCUAGAGUCUUGUAGAGGGGGGUAGGAAUUUCAGGUGUAGCGGUGAAAUGCGUAGAGAUCUGAAGGAAUACCAGUGGCGAAGGCGGCCCCCUGGACAAAGACUGACGCUCAGAUGCGAAAGCGUGGGGAGCAAACAGGAUUAGAUACCCUGUAG